RNAcentral lists this ribosomal RNA (1977 nucleotides) under Phaeosphaeria eustoma. Its description in RNAcentral is "SSU rRNA". It matches the Rfam family "Eukaryotic small subunit ribosomal RNA". Lineage: Eukaryota; Fungi; Ascomycota; Dothideomycetes; Pleosporales; Phaeosphaeriaceae. The record is from RNAcentral.
CAUUAUACCGUGAAACUGCGAAUGGCUCAUUAAAUCAGUUAUCGUUUAUUUGAUAGUACCUUACUACUUGGAUAACCGUGGUAAUUCUAGAGCUAAUACAUGCUGAAAACCCCAACUUCGGGAGGGGUGUAUUUAUUAGAUAAAAAACCAACGCCCUUCGGGGCUUCUUGGUGAUUCAUGAUAACUUUACGGAUCGCAUGGCCUUGCGCCGGCGACGGUUCAUUCAAAUUUCUGCCCUAUCAACUUUCGAUGGUAAGGUAUUGGCUUACCAUGGUUUCAACGGGUAACGGGGAAUUAGGGUUCGAUUCCGGAGAGGGAGCCUGAGAAACGGCUACCACAUCCAAGGAAGGCAGCAGGCGCGCAAAUUACCCAAUCCCGACACGGGGAGGUAGUGACAAUAAAUACUGAUACAGGGCUCUUUUGGGUCUUGUAAUUGGAAUGAGUACAAUUUAAACCUCUUAACGAGGAACAAUUGGAGGGCAAGUCUGGUGCCAGCAGCCGCGGUAAUUCCAGCUCCAAUAGCGUAUAUUAAAGUUGUUGCAGUUANNNGCUCGUAGUUGAACCUUGNGUCUGGCUGGCAGGUCCGCCUCACCGCGUGUACUUGUCCGGCCGGGCCUUCCUUCUGGAGAACCUCAUGCCCUUCACUGGGCGUGUUGGGGACCAGGACUUUUACUUUGAAAAAAUUAGAGUGUUCAAAGCAGGCCUUUGCUCGAAUACGUUAGCAUGGAAUAAUAGAAUAGGACGUGCGGUCCUAUUUUGUUGGUUUCUAGGACCGCCGUAAUGAUUAAUAGGGACAGUCGGGGGCAUCAGUAUUCAAUUGUCAGAGGUGAAAUUCUUGGAUUUAUUGAAGACUAACUACUGCGAAAGCAUUUGCCAAGGAUGUUUUCAUUAAUCAGUGAACGAAAGUUAGGGGAUCGAAGACGAUCAGAUACCGUCGUAGUCUUAACCGUAAACUAUGCCGACUAGGGAUCGGGCGAUGUUCUUUUUCUGACUCGCUCGGCACCUUACGAGAAAUCAAAGUUUUUGGGUUCUGGGGGGAGUAUGGUCGCAAGGCUGAAACUUAAAGNNNNNNNNNNNNNNNNNNNNNNNNNNNNCGCAGUAGCUCUGCGCCNGAAGGAGCCAGUAAUGGUGAGUGGUUGCCGUCCUUAAAUCCUAGUCUUUCUUUGAAAGGCGAGACCCUUAAAUUGCGGGGAAUUCGCGAAGCACUCAGCUACUAAGCCUACCUGCGAAAGCGGUGGGUGGCCAGGUUAACUGCCUGGGUAUAGUAAAAACGCUGUUUGUAUGUGUUAAUCCGCAGCCAAGCCCCUCUAUCAAUGCGAGUGGGGAAGGUUCAGAGACUAAACAGGGGUCGGUUAGAACUAUGAAGUACAUUCUAGCUUAAGAUAUAGUCCGUGUCACUGCUGAAAGGCAGUANAAUUAGGAUUACCCUAUAUAAAACGGGAGCCUGCGGCUUAAUUUGACUCAACACGGGGAAACUCACCAGGUCCAGAUGAAAUAAGGAUUGACAGAUUGAGAGCUCUUUCUUGAUUUUUCAGGUGGUGGUGCAUGGCCGUUCUUAGUUGGUGGAGUGAUUUGUCUGCUUAAUUGCGAUAACGAACGAGACCUUAACCUGCUAAAUAGCCAGGCUAGCUUUGGCUGGUCGCCGGCUUCUUAGAGGGACUAUCGGCUCAAGCCGAUGGAAGUUUGAGGCAAUAACAGGUCUGUGAUGCCCUUAGAUGUUCUGGGCCGCACGCGCGCUACACUGACAGAGCCAACGAGUUCUUCACCUUGGCCGAAAGGUCUGGGUAAUCUUGUUAAACUCUGUCGUGCUGGGGAUAGAGCAUUGCAAUUAUUGCUCUUCAACGAGGAAUGCCUAGUAAGCGCGUGUCAUCAGCAUGCGUUGAUUACGUCCCUGCCCUUUGUACACACCGCCCGUCGCUACUACCGAUUGAAUGGCUCNGUGAGGCCUUCGGACUGGCUUAGGGAGGUUGGCAACGA